GAUGAACGCUGGCGGCGUGCCUAAUACAUGCAAGUCGAGCGGACAGAUGCUGCUCUUGCUCCUCUGACGUUUGCCGCACACGGGUGAGUCACGUGUGGAUACCCUCCCUAUCAGACUGGUAUCACUUCGGGACUCCGGCUCUAAUCCCAGAUGAUCUCUUGCACCGCAUGGUUCAUUAGUAAAAUACGGUUUUGCUGUCACUUAUCGCUGGAUCCGCGCCGCAUUAGCUAGUUGGUACGGUAACGGCUUACCAAGGCAACGCUGCGUAGCCGACCUGAGGGGGUGAUGGGCCACUGUGGAGCUGAGCCGCGGUCCAGAGACCGACGGGAGGCCGCAGUAGGGAAUCGUCCGCAAUGGGCGAAAGCCUGACGGAGCAACGCAGCGUGAGUGAUGAAGGGCCGCGGAUCGUAAAACUCUGUUAUGGGGGAAGAACAAAUGUGUAAGUAACGAUGCACGUCUGGACGGAACCGAAUCAGAAAGCCACGGCUAACUACGU
Molecule: ribosomal RNA, 496 nt
Filed under: uncultured bacterium
Lineage: Bacteria
Description: partial 16S ribosomal RNA
Rfam family: Bacterial small subunit ribosomal RNA
Source: RNAcentral